This 633-nucleotide ribosomal RNA is filed under the name Bacillus sp. (in: firmicutes). RNAcentral describes it as "bacterial SSU rRNA". It matches the Rfam family "Bacterial small subunit ribosomal RNA", at positions 51 to 662 of the family's 1533-position model. The record is from RNAcentral. Lineage: Bacteria; Bacillati; Bacillota; Bacilli; Caryophanales; Bacillaceae.
AUACAUGCAAGUCGAGCGAAUGGAUUGAGAGCUUGCUCUCAAGAAGUUAGCGGCGGACGGGUGAGUAACACGUGGGUAACCUGCCCAUAAGACUGGGAUAACUCCGGGAAACCGGGGCUAAUACCGGAUAACAUUUUGAACUGCAUGGUUCGAAAUUGAAAGGCGGCUUCGGCUGUCACUUAUGGAUGGACCCGCGUCGCAUUAGCUAGUUGGUGAGGUAACGGCUCACCAAGGCAACGAUGCGUAGCCGACCUGAGAGGGUGAUCGGCCACACUGGGACUGAGACACGGCCCAGACUCCUACGGGAGGCAGCAGUAGGGAAUCUUCCGCAAUGGACGAAAGUCUGACGGAGCAACGCCGCGUGAGUGAUGAAGGCUUUCGGGUCGUAAAACUCUGUUGUUAGGGAAGAACAAGUGCUAGUUGAAUAAGCUGGCACCUUGACGGUACCUAACCAGAAAGCCACGGCUAACUACGUGCCAGCAGCCGCGGUAAUACGUAGGUGGCAAGCGUUAUCCGGAAUUAUUGGGCGUAAAGCGCGCGCAGGUGGUUUCUUAAGUCUGAUGUGAAAGCCCACGGGCUCAACCGUGGAGGGUCAUUGGGAAACUGGGAGACUUGAGUGCAGAAGAGGAAAGU